This 384-nucleotide long non-coding RNA is filed under the name Nicotiana benthamiana. Its description in RNAcentral is "long non-coding RNA (NBEN_LNC028179)". The record is from RNAcentral. Lineage: Eukaryota; Viridiplantae; Streptophyta; Magnoliopsida; Solanales; Solanaceae.
CCGUACCAAUUUCUAUAUUGCAUCUUUGCACUUCAACGUAACUUUUCCUCAUCUAAAACUGACUAUUAAUAACUUGAACAAAUAGAAACAGAUAGAACCAGGGACCAACCCUCAACAUCGACCUCGCCGGAAAACCUCGAUCGGGAACCUCAGGUCGACGCUCCAAGCAACGAGCUUUAAGUCGACAGAUCUCGACAUGCUCUCAAGCGUAGAUAAUUUCACAUUAUGAUAGGUCUCUGGAGUAGUUUUGAGUCGAAAAAAAUCCUGAGGUUUAAAGGGCGGAAGAAAGAUGAAGCAGUAGUGUCCAUGCGAGGCUUUGGUGGUGGUUUCAACUCGUUUUCCGGCGAGCUUGUCGCUGUUUCUGAUGGGUUCCGACGAGCUAUG